Molecule: ribosomal RNA, 523 nt
Filed under: uncultured microorganism
Description: bacterial SSU rRNA
Rfam family: Bacterial small subunit ribosomal RNA
Source: RNAcentral
GAGUUUGAUCGUGGCUCAGAUUGAACGCUGGCGGCAGGCCUAACACAUGCAAGUCGAGCGGAUGAAGGGAGCUUGCUCCUGGAUUCAGCGGCGGACGGGUGAGUAAUGCCUAGGAAUCUGCCUGGUAGUGGGGGAUAACGUCCGGAAACGGGCGCUAAUACCGCAUACGUCCUGAGGGAGAAAGUGGGGGAUCUUCGGACCUCACGCUAUCAGGUGAGCCUAGGUCGGAUUAGCUAGUUGGUGGGGUAAAGGCCUACCAAGGCGACGAUCCGUAACUGGUCUGAGAGGAUGAUCAGUCACACUGGAACUGAGACACGGUCCAGACUCCUACGGGAGGCAGCAGUGGGGAAUAUUGGACAAUGGGCGAAAGGCCUGAUCCAGCCAUGCCGCGUGUGUGAAGAAGGUCUUCGGAUUGUAAAGCACUUUAAGUUGGGAGGAAGGGCAGUAAGUUAAUACCUUGCUGUUUGACGUUACCAACAGAAUAAGCACCGGCUAACUUCGUGCCAGCAGCCGCCGUAACACC